Molecule: ribosomal RNA, 460 nt
Filed under: uncultured bacterium
Lineage: Bacteria
Description: partial 16S ribosomal RNA
Rfam family: Bacterial small subunit ribosomal RNA
Source: RNAcentral
UCUACGGGAGGCAGCAGUGAGGAAUAUUGGUCAAUGGGCGGAAGCCUGAACCAGCCAAGUAGCGUGCAGGAUGACGGCCCUACGGGUUGUAAACUGCUUUUAUACGGGAAUAACGCGCCUUACGUGUAGGGCUUUGCAUGUACCGUAUGAAUAAGGACCGGCUAAUUCCGUGCCAGCAACCGCGGUAAUACGGAAGGUCCGGGCGUUAUCCGGAUUUAUUGGGUUUAAAGGGAGCGUAGGCCGCAUGUCAAGCGUGCUGUGAAAUGUCCGGGCUCAACCCGGGCCUUGCAGCGCGAACUGGCGUGCUUGAGUCCGCGGAAAGCAGGCGGAAUUCGUGGUGUAGCGGUGAAAUGCUUAGAUAUGACGAAGAACCCCGAUUGCGAAGGCAGCUUGCUGCAGCGGAACUGACGCUGAUGCUCGAAAGCGCGGAUAUCGAACAGGAUUAGAUACCCUUGUAGUC